This 411-nucleotide ribosomal RNA is filed under the name Pristimantis chiastonotus group sp. ABGD cluster 88. Its description in RNAcentral is "partial large subunit ribosomal RNA". It matches the Rfam family "Bacterial large subunit ribosomal RNA", at positions 1816 to 2460 of the family's 2925-position model. Lineage: Eukaryota; Metazoa; Chordata; Amphibia; Anura; Strabomantidae. The record is from RNAcentral.
UCGCCUCUUGCUCUCCCAUAAGAGGUCCAGCCUGCCCAGUGACUUAGUUCAACGGCCGCGGUACCCUAACCGUGCGAAGGUAGCGUAAUCACUUGUCUUCCAAAUAGAGACUAGUAUGAAAGGCAUCACGAGAAUUAAACUGUCUCCUUUUUCUAAUCAGUGAAACUAAUCUUCCCGUGAAGAAGCGGGAAUCCAAAAAUAAGACGAGAAGACCCUAUGGAGCUUUAAACACUAACCACCUGCCCAAUCCUAUAAGACCCCGGUUCCUAAACCAACGCAUCAUGACUACGUGUUUUUGAUUGGGGCGACCACGGAAAAUAAUCAAACCUCCGUAAUGAAAACCUACAAGCCACAGCUUUAAGUAUCAACAAAUUGACAUCCAUUGACCCAAUAUAUUGACUAAUGAACCAA